Molecule: non-coding RNA, 31 nt
Filed under: Homo sapiens (human)
Lineage: Eukaryota; Metazoa; Chordata; Mammalia; Primates; Hominidae
Source: RNAcentral
UGCGUGUCGUCUCCUGACCAGAGAGGCCAUC